Molecule: non-coding RNA, 47 nt
Organism: Aedes aegypti (yellow fever mosquito)
Lineage: Eukaryota; Metazoa; Arthropoda; Insecta; Diptera; Culicidae
Source: Rfam
CAAUCGGCCCUUUUCAGGGCCAACAAAUGUGUACUAGAGAGUUAUUU